RNAcentral lists this transfer RNA (84 nucleotides) under Campylobacter jejuni subsp. jejuni 81-176-UMCW9. Its description in RNAcentral is "tRNA-Leu". It matches the Rfam family "tRNA". Rfam says of the family: Transfer RNA (tRNA) molecules are approximately 80 nucleotides in length. The record is from RNAcentral. Lineage: Bacteria; Pseudomonadati; Campylobacterota; Epsilonproteobacteria; Campylobacterales; Campylobacteraceae.
GCGGAUGUGGUGAAUUGGCAGACGACGCCAGACUUAGGUUUUUUGCAGCAAUGCGUGAAGGUUCAAGUCCUUUCAUCCGCACCA